RNAcentral lists this long non-coding RNA (965 nucleotides) under Homo sapiens (human). RNAcentral's name for it is "HSALNT0244571". Lineage: Eukaryota; Metazoa; Chordata; Mammalia; Primates; Hominidae. The record is from RNAcentral.
AAUUGAAUCAUGGGGGCCGGUCUUUCCCAUGCUAUUCUCGUGAUAGGGAAUAAAUCUCACGAGAUCUGAUGGGUUUAUCAGGGGUUUCCGCUUUUGCUUCUUCCUCAUUUUCUUUUGUCGCUGCCGCGUUAGAAGUGUCUUUUGCCCCGCCUGGCCCCUGUAAUCCCAGCACUUUGGGAGGCCGUGGCGAGCGACGCCGGCGGAUCACCUGAGGUCAGGAGUUGACGACCAGCCUGGCCAGUAUGGUGAAACCCCGUCUCUACUAAAAAAAAAAAAAUUAGCGGGGCAUGGUGGCUCUCGCCUGCAGUCCCAGCUACUCAGGCGGCUGAGGCAGGAGAAUCACUUAAACCUGGGAGGCGCAGGUUGCAGUGAGCUGAGAUGGCGCCACUGCACUCCAGCCUGGGCAACAAGAGCCAGACUGCGUCUCAAACAACAACAACAAAAAAGUGCCUUUCACCUCCACCCAUGAUUCUGAGGCCUCUCCAGCCGUGUGGAACUGAGACAUUGUCAAAACAUCAAGCUUUUCUAUCAUGCAGGUCCAGAUAAAGAGGGUUGGAGUGGAUAUGAAAGGAUUCCACUGAGGUUGGGAUGAAAGAAAAAGACGAUCUAGAAAUUUCAAGGAACUCUGCUAUGUAAAUUUACCUGAACAUUACAAGAUAAACCUGAGUGUCUAAGAGACUAUCCUAAUCUCACAGACAUUUUAACCUGUGUAAACCCUCGAUUUGCUGGAAUGAACUUCAGUCAUGCAUUUGAGAACCCCCACUUUAAAUAUCGUAAAAAUGUCAUAAUAAUUUCAGAUAAAAGGUUUCCAUUUUUCUCCUUAUGUUUAUAAAACAAAAUUAAAGACUUGUUUUUUCCUCUUUUUCAUUUCAACCAACAAGGUUUUAAGGCCUGAAGAGCAAUUAUAUUUAUACUUUGCCAUGUUUGGUUGAAAGUUUAAACUUGAAAUAAAGUUGAGAUUUAUU